Long non-coding RNA from Rattus norvegicus (Norway rat), 1099 nucleotides. Ensembl lists it as uncharacterized. The record is from Ensembl. Lineage: Eukaryota; Metazoa; Chordata; Mammalia; Rodentia; Muridae.
GGACUGUCCAUGUUCAUGGGAACUGAGAGCCAACCGAGAGCCAGGAAGAUCGGGCAAACCACUCUUCCACUGACCGCAGCACCAUGCAUGGUCCAUAGAGAGAGACACAUGCUGACGAGGGAGAUUUAAGAAGGCAUGGAAGGCCUGAUUCGAUGAUGAAUGGCAAGCCGCUACCCCGCUGAAAUGUCAAGUAUCUGGAAAGCUUGUCUUUAUGGUUUUUUUUUUCUACCAGUACUGUUUGGUAAAUCAACCGCUGUUUGCCUAUAGUAAGCCAUGCAUGGCUCGGUCUUUGAUGUAAAUGCAGGACUUCGCUGAUUCCAUGUCUAUACUUCUCUGAGGCUAUGGAAGCCAGGUCAAGGAAGGACACAUGAGUUCAAGCCGAUUUUACAACUGUAAGUCAAGAAUAGCAUCAUUUUUCAUCUGUGAAAUCAGACAGUCUCCCAGUAUAAAAAUCUCUGUCACUAUCUCUCACAAAUGCAAAGCAGGAAGAAACAUCUAUAACAGAGCAUGCCCUCUGUGACAGACUCCUGAUCCCCUUCUCUUCUGCCUCGGUGGAGUAGCUAUGUUCUCCUGAUCGCGAAUGAGCAGAAAGCGCUUUAUCAUCUUUUGUCUUGUUUUCAUCCUGCCCUGAAGAAGAAAAGAGACAAGAUAAAGGAAGUGGCUGCAGCUACCCGACGAUGCUCCGUUGACUCCUGUAAAAAUAACUGUUUCCAGGUCAAUACAUCUCUACUCUCCCUCCAUAAAAGAGAAGGAGCUGUAAAUAACACGGUGUGGAGACAUGUGUGGUACCCACCUGACCCAGUGUUGUCUUCGAAAUGCAUUCUGCCGAGUUCCUACUUCGGCUCCUCAUGAAGCCAAGUCGUCAUUAACACCUACAUGGUCUGAAAACACAAACCACGAGAAGCAAGAGCUAUCAAGUGUACAUAGAUCUGGGGGGCAAGGGGAGGACAAGGUAUUGGCUUAGUGUGUGAGGUUCUGAGCCCGUGGGUCUGUUUGUACUAUGUCCUGAGUCUAAGGUCCUGUAACUGUACCUUCCUGUCCUGAGUCAUUUGUAUCUCUUGGCUUUGUAAUAAACGCUGCACACAAAAAAGAAAAAAAG